GAUGAACGCUGGCGGCGUGCCUAAUACAUGCAAGUCGAGCGAACGGACGAGAAGCUUGCUUCUCUGAUGUUAGCGGCGGACGGGUGAGUAACACGUGGAUAACCUACCUAUAAGACUGGGAUAACUUCGGGAAACCGGAGCUAAUACCGGAUAAUAUUUUGAACCGCAUGGUUCAAAAGUGAAAGACGGCCUUGCUGUCACUUAUAGAUGGAUCCGCGCUGCAUUAGCUAGUUGGUAAGGUAACGGCUUACCAAGGCAACGAUGCAUAGCCGACCUGAGAGGGUGAUCGGCCACACUGGAACUGAGACACGGUCCAGUCUCCUACGGGAGGCAGCAGUAGGGAAUCUUCCGCAAUGGGCGAAAGCCUGACGGAGCAACGCCGCGUGAGUGAUGAAGGUCUUCGGAUCGUAAAACUCUGUUAUUAGGGAAGAACAUAUGUGUAAGUAACUGUGCACAUCUUGACGGUACCUAAUCAGAAAGCCACGGCUAACUACGUG
Molecule: ribosomal RNA, 497 nt
Filed under: uncultured bacterium
Lineage: Bacteria
Description: partial 16S ribosomal RNA
Rfam family: Bacterial small subunit ribosomal RNA
Source: RNAcentral